RNAcentral lists this ribosomal RNA (563 nucleotides) under uncultured bacterium. RNAcentral describes it as "partial 16S ribosomal RNA". It matches the Rfam family "Bacterial small subunit ribosomal RNA", at positions 355 to 909 of the family's 1533-position model. The record is from RNAcentral.
UGGGGAAUUUUGGACAAUGGGGGAAACCCUGAUCCAGCCAUCCCGCGUGUGCGAUGAAGGCCUUCGGGUUGUAAAGCACUUUUGGCAGGAAAGAAACGUCGCGGGUUAAUACCCCGCGAAACUGACGGUACCUGCAGAAUAAGCACCGGCUAACUACGUGCCAGCAGCCGCGGUAAUACGUAGGGUGCAAGCGUUAAUCGGAAUUACUGGGCGUAAAGCGUGCGCAGGCGGUUCGGAAAGAAAGAUGUGAAAUCCCAGAGCUUAACUUUGGAACUGCAUUUUUAACUACCGGGCUAGAGUGUGUCAGAGGGAGGUGGAAUUCCGCGUGUAGCAGUGAAAUGCGUAGAUAUGCGGAGGAACACCGAUGGCGAAGGCAGCCUCCUGGGAUAACACUGACGCUCAUGCACGAAAGCGUGGGGGAGCAAACAGGAUUAGAUACCCUGGUAGUCCACGCCCUAAACGAUGUCAACUAGCUGUUGGGGCCUUCGGGCCUUGGUAGCGCAGCUAACGCGUGAAGUUGACCGCCUGGGGGAGUACGGUCGCAAGAUUAAAACUCAAAUGAA